GCCGGGCAGGGGUCGCCGCCCGGGCUCGGUCAAUCGGUACCUUCAUGAAGGUCUCUACCGCGCCUUUGGCCGUGUCCAGAGCUCAAGAGGAUAAAUGCAGAUGGAACUAUGGGAAGUGAAUGAAUGACUGCCCAAGCUGAUGAGUCAAACUAAGUACUCCAUAGGCCAACUAAGUGCUCCACAGAAAUCCCUGUGAUGGCUACUAGGAAAUGGUAAAGCAAGCAUUAUCAUCUGAGCUCCUGAUGGACAGAGAUGCCAGGAGGGUCUUUCUAUGUAUUUCCAGCUGGCCUUGAAUUCAC
Long non-coding RNA from Fukomys damarensis (Damara mole-rat), 299 nucleotides. RefSeq lists it as uncharacterized. NCBI's taxonomy places the organism in Eukaryota, Metazoa, Chordata, Mammalia, Rodentia, Bathyergidae. The record is from RefSeq and is a predicted model, not a curated record. The transcript has 3 exons.